This 377-nucleotide ribosomal RNA is filed under the name Sordariomycetes sp. 1814 RO-2014. RNAcentral's name for it is "LSU rRNA". It matches the Rfam family "Eukaryotic large subunit ribosomal RNA", at positions 138 to 522 of the family's 3401-position model. The record is from RNAcentral. Lineage: Eukaryota; Fungi; Ascomycota; Sordariomycetes.
CCGAGUUGUAAUUUGCAGAGGAUGCUUUUGGUGCGGUGCCUUCCAAGUUCCCUAGAACGGGACGCCAGAGAGGGUGAGAGCCCCGUACAGUUGGACACCAAGCCUUUGUAAAGCUCCUUCGACGAGUCGAGUAGUUUGGGAAUGCUGCUCAAAAUGGGAGGUAUAUUUCUUCUAAAGCUAAAUACCGGCCAGAGACCGAUAGCGCACAAGUAGAGUGAUCGAAAGAUGAAAAGCACUUUGAAAAGAGGGUUAAACAGCACGUGAAAUUGUUAAAAGGGAAGCGCUUGUGACCAGACUUGCGUCCGGUGAAUCACCCAGCUCUCGCGGCUGGGGCACUUCGCCGGCUCAGGCCAGCAUCAGCUCGCUGUCGGGGACAA